Molecule: transfer RNA, 74 nt
Filed under: Enterobacteriaceae endosymbiont of Donacia crassipes
Lineage: Bacteria; Pseudomonadati; Pseudomonadota; Gammaproteobacteria; Enterobacterales; Enterobacteriaceae
Description: tRNA-Asp
Rfam family: tRNA
About the family: Transfer RNA (tRNA) molecules are approximately 80 nucleotides in length. Their secondary structure includes four short double-helical elements and three loops (D, anti-codon, and T loops).
Source: RNAcentral
GGUGCGAUAGUUCAGUUGGUUAGAAUACCGGCCUGUCACGCCGGGGGUCACGGGUUCAACUCCCGUUCGCACCG